RNAcentral lists this long non-coding RNA (7569 nucleotides) under Octopus vulgaris (common octopus). Lineage: Eukaryota; Metazoa; Mollusca; Cephalopoda; Octopoda; Octopodidae. The record is from RNAcentral.
UAAAAGCAGUAGAUUUGCAAAAGCAUUGGCGAACAUUGAAUAAAACACCUUGCUGUAUUUAGAUAUUUACCUGCAUGUUAUGAGUACAGGAUUACCCAAGGUCCACUUUCUGCCCACCAAAUUCACUCUCAACACUUUGGUUGGCCUUGAGGCUGUGGCAGAGAGCGCUUCCUUCAGAGUACCCUCUACUAUAGCAAACUUCUUAGCCAUAUCCGUACCCCUGUGCCGUGGGUCUGCAUCCAGAAUCAUGAACCAUGUCUGUGAAACACAACUAAGGAAGCCUCUUCAUAGAAAGAAACAUGCUCAUUUGUCUGUUUUACAUCCUUGUUUUCAUGCCUGCAUGUAUUUGAGGAACACAUAGUACUGAGGCAUUGAUUCAAGUAUGUAUGUAUAAAUAUCCCUGUCUGCUUCUUUGUUCGAUUUACAUCUUUUCUUCCGUGCUAGCAUUGGUUGGAGGAAAACCUAUUUCUAAGGCAUCGUUUGACUGCUGGAUGCUCUUCCUGUUGCUAACCCUCACCUGUUUUACAAAUGCUGGAUUUCUUUUCUUUGUUUUCCCUUUUUUUUUUUUUUUUGCAUAUAUAUGCUGUGGUUUUCCAAUUCUGUACCCCUGCAUUGUUUAAGGAGUUUGCUAGAGAAGAAAUCAUUUUAAGCAAGUGCCACCCAAACUUAAGAGUGAAUUUGGUAGGCAGAUAUUGAAAAAGAAACUCAUCAUAUAUAUGUGUGUGUGUGUGUGUGUGUGUGUGUGUGUGUGUAUAUGCAUGUACUUAUAUAUGCAUACACACAUGUAUAUAUAAUGCAUGGGCAUUUGUGUUUCCUUGCCUUGGUUCACUCGCUGUCUGUAAACGAGCGUGACUGUCAUAUUGGCGGUGUCGUUUGUUUUACAAUCUUAUGUGAAAAAAGGUACAGACAUGAGCAAAAUAUUACCAUGCUUCGAAACAGAUGAAGAUUGGCAGCAGAUGGAGCCUUGGUCCUUAAAAAAUUUGCCGCAUUGAAUUUUGCCUGACCUGUGCAAGCAUGACAGAGCAGAUGUUGAAAUGAUGACAGCAAUGCAUGUCUCCCUUUCUUACUCUGGAAAAAAUCUCUCUGAAAAUAUGACACAAAGGUGGUGCUCCAGCAUAGCCACAGUCAAAUGACCGAAACAAGUAAAAGAGUACGAACUCUGUGAUUUACAUUAAGUCAACCAAACAGAACCCGUCUAAUUCCUCUCCUGGCUAUGCAAACAGACCAACAGAAGAAACAACAGUGUUGGUCUCACUCCUUGUAUGCUAACGAAGCAUUUGUUGAUUCUGCUGUGCUCCCACUGACUGCUGCAAUUAUCUUCGUACUCCCCGGCACCACUUCUGUUUGGUCUCUUUUCACAACUAUUAUAAUGUUGGCAGAGUUGGUGGGGCAUCAAACAUAAUGCCUUGUGGUAUUUAUGCUUGACUCUUUGCAUUCCGAGUUCAAAUUUUACCAGGGAAUGCCAAGUACUGGUCAGAUACUGGGGUUCUUCCCAAAAUUUGAGAUGUUGCCAUAUAAAAAUAAAUCAGUAUUACAAUCUAAAUGCUGUUCUUUAUAAGUAGGAUUUGAGAAGUAUGCCCUUCUGCUACCCUUCUGCAGUAUCUAUUUACAGUUAAGCAGACUGUUCAUUUGAUAGUUUUGUGUUCCAGCUGUUGGGUUCGGUGCCCCCUUGUGACAGCUUAAAAAUGUGUGUAAACCUUUGCAGUACGCAGCGCUGUACCGACUGCAUCAUCUAUGACUCCUGUUACCUUUCGUUAAAUACAUUUAUUUGCAGCUGUUCCUGUGGCACCUGUAGAGAAUUAGUUUCAAAAACUGAGUCAAAGAAGUACAGCUCCAUGGGUCCACAAUUCUUCGGAAACACACUUUUCCUGCCAUGCUUAUAUUUGCCUGUGCGCACACAUGCACGCACACAUGCACACACAGACACAUACUCUGGUAGCCAUCUUGGACAUCCCCUGUACCUCUCCUGUCAUUGGGAUUCUUAUCAGUCUGACAAGAAGGGAUUCAUUAGGGGCCUUGAAACUUGAAGUAGCACAGUAUCCAAAUCAAACGGUUUUGAAAAGUACACGCAAACCAAUAAAUGUGCUGAGUGCCCUUUCUUUCAUUUGACCACUCAUAUAUAUGUAUGUAUGUGCAUGUGUGUGUGUAUGUAUGUAUGUAUGUAUGGCAUUCAACACAUUUAGUAAGAUUUACAUAUUAUUUUUAGUAAUAGUUUCACUCUAAGUUUUGUGGGUGCAUAAGACGGACACAUCUGAUCAGCUACCUGGAGAUUCUUCUCCCGAUGUCUGUUGAGACAGAUCCAUCCUAUACGCACAUGAAACUUAGAGUGAGCCGAGUGAAACUAUUAUUAAAGAAUAUAUUUAACUCCCACCAAAUGUGUUGAUUGCCACUUUCUUUUGUAUGUCCACUGAUAUAUAUAUAUAUAUAUAUAUAUAUAUAUAUAUAUAUAUAUAUAUAUAUAUAUAAGAAGUAAUCAGUAAUUUCGGAAUAGCUAAGAUUUUUUGACUGCUAUUUCUAAACUUCGGUAUGUGGUGAAGCAAAUCUCUGCUGAACCCUAAUUAUAAAGUAUAUAUAUAUAUAUAUAUAUAUAUAUACAUACACACACACACACACACAUAUGCGCAGAGAAAGAGUGUGUGUUGAAGUGAUGUACAGAUACAGUAUUGUAUAUUAAGGAAAAGGAAGUAGUCAGAAUUUUGGAUAAUUCUUUAUUCAGUGUUUUCAUCCAUUAACGAGGACUUAAAUCUUCACGAAUGAACAAAAGCACUAAGGAAGUAUUCGAAAUUCUGACUGCUUCCUUUUUCUUAUAAUAUUAUUAUUAUUAUUAUUAUUAUUAUUAUUAUCCAUGGCUUUAUGGUUAAGAAGUUCAUUUCCUGCCUGCGUGGUUUCAAGCUCAGUCUUGCCCUGUAUGGUACCUUGGGCAAGAGUCUUCUACUAUGAUUCUAGGCUAACUAAGGCCUUGUGAGUGAAUUUAAUUAAUGGAAACUGAAAGAAGCUUGUCCUAUAUAUGUAUGUGGUGUAUAUAUAUAUAUAUAUACAUAUAUAUAUAUAUUUUGAGUGUGGUCAGCUGGCAGAAACGUUAGCAUGCCAGGCGAAAUACCUUGUGGUACUUUGUCUGCUGUUACGUUCUGAGUUCAAAUUCCGCUGAGGUCUACUUGGCCUUUCAUCCUUUUCAGGGUUGAUUAAAUAAGUACCAGUUAUGCACUGGGGGUCGAUGUAAUCGACUUAAUCCCGUUGUCUGUCCUUGUUUAUCCCCUCUGUGUUUAUUCCCCUGUGGGCAAUAAAGAAAUAUAUAUAUAUAUAUAUAUAUAUUUAUAUUUAUGUGUUUGUGUGUGCUCUUAAUAUGUACUAAUUGUAAAUAUCACUGUCACACAAAAGCUGUUGCUUGCUAUCUUCUGUGAAAACAUGCCUGGCCAUUGUGCUGUUUGCUUGAAAAUAGAUGAGGGUUGGCAACAGGGAGAGCAUCCAGCGAUGUAAAAUCUGCCUCGGGGAAUUUUGUCAGAGCCAUGCAAGCGUGGUAAAGUGGACAUUACAGCAACAGUGGUGUCAAUUGUUUUUAAAUGUUCCAUGUGCUCCACAUGUCUGUCCACAUCUACCGCGUUAUAUGGGUUCUUAGGAUGGCUGUCAUGGUGGACUACACUCCACGAGAAAGGGUUGCCAGCCCCUAGCUAAAUCCUCCCCUAUAUGUUGGAGGGGUAGGGACACAGUAAGUGGUCCUAACGACUCUCUAGAAACAUGGUUGAAGCAGUUCUGAGAGAGGAAGAGCAGAAUCGAACAGAAUGUUACUGACCCCGAAACAGAUGGAAAGAAAAGUUGUCUUCAGCAAAGUUUCAACUCAUCAAAAUGCACCUUGCUGGAAAAUAACGCAAGCCAAGUGUCUGCUGCUCUAACAAUGCUUCUAAUUGACUGCUCUGUGUAUCAAAUUUACAUGCACACAUACAUACAUAUAUUUACAUACAUAUAUACAUACACUCAUACAAAUUUGCAACAGCCCCAUAACUAACAUCUCAGCUAUAACCUUGGAGCCCUAGUAAUCUGUUACAACACUUACCUUGCAUACCUAAUUGUUUAGAUCACCUGUGAACUAAACCCCCAUACUUAUACAUACAAAUAUAUAUAUAUAUAUAUAUAUAUAUACACACACAUGCAUACACUCACACACACAUACAUUACUUGAAGCCGAUGAUGCACUUUGUCUUUGUGCAUUUAUAUAUACACACAUAUAUAUAUAUAUGUGUGUGUGUGUAUAUAUAUAUGUGUGUGUAUGUAUAUAUAUAUGUGUAUAUAUAUAUAUAUAAAAAGCAUGAACCUCAUAUCACUCUCACUCUCUCUGUUAUAUAUAUAUAUAUAUAUAUAAACUUACCUGAAUAAUAUAUACACUUGAACAAAACAAUAAUAUCAGUAAAAAUUUUCCUCUCCGAACAAAACCUUCACAUUUUUUCAUUUUGUUCAUUUUAAUUAAUUUUAAAAUUAUUGGGUUUUCUUAUUUUCCUCCUCUCUUCAUCCCCACCUCUAUCUAGCUGUUGUUUUUUUUUUACCUUAAUUUAUAUAUUAUGUUCUAAAAUUGUAUUAUUUAAAAAAAAAGAUUUAUUAUGAUUGUUAUUGCUGUUGUUUGUUGUUGAGUUCAAAUCCCAUCAGGGGUCGACUUUGCCUUUCAUCUUCCAGGGGUCUUCUACUGGCGCCAGUAUAAUCAUCAGUUCCUAACCUCAAAAUUUCUGGCCUUGUUCCUCUGUAAGGAAUCAUCAUCAUCAUUAUUAUUAUUUUAUUAUUUUAUUAUUAUGAUGAAGGUACUGAGCUGAUUGAAUCGUGUGUCAGAAAAAAAAUGCCUUGUAUUUUUCCCCAGACCUUUAUAUUCUGAGUUCAAAUCCUGUCAAAGUCAGCUUCACCUUUCAUCCCUCUGGCACUCUGGAGCCGAUAAAAUAAAGCACCCAACAAAUACUGGGCUUGAUGCAGUCCACUUGCUCCUACCUUCCCUCCAAAAAUUUCAAGCCCUUUUGCUUCUAGUAGAAAGAAUCCUUCUUCUUAUUAUUAUUAAGGUGGUGUGAGCUGGCAGAAUUGUUAGCACACCAGGCAAAAUGCUGCUGAGCGUUUUGCCCAUCUUUGCGUCCCAUGUUCAAAUUAUGCCGAGGAUUGACUUCACCUUUCACCCUUUUUACUCUCAAUAAGUACUAGUUGGGUACUGGGGUCAAUGGAAUUGACUUACCCCUUCCCUCGAGACCGCUGGCUUUAUGCCAAAAUUUGAAAUCAUGAAUAUUAUUAUUAUUAUUAUUAACAUGCAAGCAGUGGGCUAGCAGAAUCAUUAAAAUUUUAGGGGAAAAAUGCUUUAUGGCAUUCAUUCUGGGUUCAAAUUCUACUGGGGUCAACUAUGCCUAUUAUACUUUUGGGGUCCGAUGAAAUGAAGUACCAGUCAAAUACUGGGAAUAAUGGUAUUAAAGAACCCUCUUCCACUCAAAAUUAAUGGGUUUUUAUGCCUAAAUCAGAAAUGGUUAUUAUUAUUAUUAUUAUUAUUAUUAUUAUCAUUAUUAUUAUUAUUAUUAAGGUGUUAAGCUGGCAGCAUUGUUAGCACGCCCGAUGAAAUGCUUGGUGGUAUUUUACUUGUCUGCCGUUAUGUUCUGAGUUCAAAUUCCACCGAGGUCAACUUUGCCUUUCAUCCUUUCGGGGUCGAUGAAAUAAGUACAGUUACGCACUGGGGUCGAUAUGAUCGAUUUAAUCGUUUGUCUGUCCUUGUUCGUCCUCUCUGUGUUUAGCCCCUUGUGGGUAGUAAAGAAAUAGGUAUUUUACCUGUUGCUGCAUUCUGAGUUCAAAUACCACCAAGGUCGAUUUUUGCCUUUCAUCCUUUUGGAGUUGAUAAAUUAAGUACCAGUGAAACACUGGGGUUGAUGGAAUUGACUUAUCCCUUCCUCCAAAAUGGCUGCUCUUGUGGCAAAAUUUGAAAUUAUUAUUAUUACUAUUAUUAUUAUCAUUAUUAGGGUGUUGGAUUGACAGAUUCAUAAAUAAAAGCAUUGAACAAAAUGCUUUGUGUCCUCAUAUCACGAUCAUUACGAUCACUUUCAACUGCCUUUUUGUAGGUCAUUUCUGGUGGUUUAUCUUAUUUUGAGUUCAAUUCCUACCUAGACCAACUUGACCAUUUUUCUUUCCAGGGUUAAUAAGAUAAAGUACUAGUCUAGUACUUGACUGAUAUAAUCGACUACUGCCUCCCUGCAAACUUCUGGCUUUGUGCCUAUAUAAAAAAAUUAUUGCUAUUUUUAUGGUGAUGGGGUGAUGGAAUAUGUAGAACGUCGCUUAAAAUACUUGAUGUUUAGUUACAUCUGUUUAUACUCUAAGCUCUAACCCUUCUGGGUUGACUAUGCUUUUAAAUUUUUAGAGUUGGUAAAUCAUAGAACCAGUCAAUUAUUGGGAUUGAUAUAAUCAACUUUAUUCUUCAACUUUUAACCUCUAAAAAAAAAAAAAAACUUUGGGACUUUGUGCCCCAUGUUAGAAACAGGUUAUCAUCAUUACUAUGGCGGCAAGCUAGCAGAAACAUUAGCACGCUGGGCGAAAUGCUUAGGAGUAUUUCGUCUGUCUUUACAUUCUGGGUUCAAAUUACGCCGAGGUCGACUUUGCCUUUUAUCCUUUAAGGGUCGAUAAAUUAAGUACCAGUUGCAUUCUGGGGUCGAUCUAAUCGACUGCCCCCCCCCCCCUUCCCUCAAAAUUUCAAGCCUUGUGCAUAGAGUAAAAAACGAAUAUUAUUAUUAAUAUUAUUAUCAUUAUUAUUAUUAUUAUUAUUAUUAUUAUUAAGGUGGUGAGCUGGCAGAAUCAUUAGCAUGCUGGGCAAAAUGCUAAGUGGCAUUAUUUUGUCUCUCUUCAUGCUCUGGGUUCAAAUUCCACCGAGGUCGACUUUGCCUUUCAUCCUUUCGGGGGGUUGAUAAAUUCAAGUACCACUUCCACACUGGGGUCAGUGUAAUUAACUAAGUCUCCUCCCCAACAAAAUUUCAGACUUAGUAACCUUUAGUAGAAAGGAUUAUCAUUAUUAAUUAAAGGUGGUGAUCUGUCAGAAUUUGUUAGAAGCUGGACAAAAUGCUUAGCAGUAAUUCUUUCUGCGUUCGACUUCCACCAAGGUCAUCUUUCAUCCUUUCGGGGUCAAUAAAACCAGUACCAGCUGUUAACUGGGGUUGAUAUAAUCACAAUCAACUAGUUCCUUCCCCACAGAUAUUUCAAGCCUUCUGCCUAUUCUAGAAAAGAUUUAUAUCAUUAUUAUUAUUACCAUUAUUAUUAUUAUCAUUAUUAUUAUUAUUAUUAUUAUUAUUAUUAUUACUACUACUACUACUGCUAUUACAAUAAUUACCAAAUUCUUUUUGGAGCCUACUUAUUUCUGUUAGAAUUCGAUCGAAAUACUUGGAUUAAUAAUCAAAUCAAUUUUAUUAAUUUGAAUUUGGUUUCAUUUGUAACUUUUUUUUUUUUUUGUUUUCAACAAAUUUUUUUUCUCUUAUUUCAAAACAAACAAAAAAAUAAUGGAAUGUAAAAAAAAAUGAAUGAAUAAAUAAAUAAAUGUUAAAAAAUAAAAUAAAAUAAAAUAAAAUGAUUAAUGUU